This 114-nucleotide ribosomal RNA is filed under the name Acanthosepion pharaonis. The record is from RNAcentral. Lineage: Eukaryota; Metazoa; Mollusca; Cephalopoda; Sepiida; Sepiidae.
UUACGGUCAAAUCACGCUGAAACACCGGUUCUCGUACGAUCACCGAAGUUAAGCAUCGUAGAGCCAGGUCAGUACUUAGAUGUGGGACCGCUUGGGAACACCUGGUACUGUAAG